CAUCCUGAUUCUGACUCAGCCCCGCUUUCCUGGUUUAGUAGCUUGUCUCAAGUGCCAAGUUCUCUGGCCCAGAGAAGCAAAGCCCGGAUCCAUCCUGACUUUGACUCAGCCCCGCUUUCCUCUCUCUCCCCAGGCCCAGGGCGCUCCCCGCGGCGACCCAUUGCUCCGUCUGCCACCGGCCUCCCCCUGUGCUUUGCUCUCAUCUUCCGGAGGAUGUUGCCUCGGUGGUCCGGGAAGCCUCCUGUGAUCCGGGUGCGCCACCCUAUAACGGUGGGACGUGUGACCCGCGAUGCCAUCAAGAGGAAGGAGGUGGCCGAGGGUCCCCGCUAGACACAGACGCAUCCUCCGAGAAGCCCUUCCGGUGCCACGUCUGCCGCUCGGCCUUCCGCUGCAAGGGGCACCUGGCCGGCCACGGGUCUCUUCAUGCAGGUGGGUUGGAACGUGAAUGCACACCCACAAGCGAGCGAGCUAGCGCACAGGUGUCCCUGCUUCUCAAUUCAGUUUGGGUUCGGAAGGAGAGAGGGACACCUCGGGCCGAAUCCUGCUCUUCGGGCGGCUUCUGGCUAAGGAGGUGGUUCUUGAGGCCCACGAAAGGUUCAAAGAGGGACGCAGCGGAUAUUGUAGGCUGGCCCUACAGGAGUCAUAAAGAUGAUGGGGGUAUGAUGAUGAUUAUGAUGAUGAAGAACAGGAGCAAAAGGGGGUGACCCCUCUUCCUGCAAGCUGUGGGGGGGGAUAGGUGUUGCUGGCGCCCCCCCCCCGCCCUCGGCAUCUGCAUUUGUUUGCACACUCCUGUCGCCCUUCUAGGGGAAAAGCCCUACCGCUGUGGGAUUUGCGGCGCCCAGUUUAACCGGCCGGCCAACCUCAAGACCCACUUGCGCAUCCACUCUGGGGAGAAGCCCUACAAGUGUGAGACGUGCGGCUCCCGGUUUGUGCAGGUAAAAAAAAAUGGGGUGGAAGGAACCAAGUCCCUGAGCAGCCUGUAGUGAGGUGGGAAAGAAAGGGGGGGGGAGUGAAAGUGUUUGCUUUCUAGAAAUAGGAUCCAUUCUAGAAAUAGGAUCCAUUUCCAGAUGACCAGGGUUCUAAAUUUUGGAUGUGUAGCUGAACAUAUUUACUUUGCCCAGGAAGCCAUUGCUAGUCUGACCCUCUACACUUCCUUCCUUCCUUGCCUCCAGGUCGCCCACCUGCGAGCGCACGUCCUGAUCCACACGGGAGAGAAGCCGUACCCCUGCGGGACGUGCGGGACGCGAUUCCGGCAUCUCCAGACCCUCAAAAGCCACAUCCGGAUUCACACGGGAGAGAAGCCUUAUCACGUGAGCAGGGAUCUGUGUUGGGGAGAUUUUUAAUGGAUCGAAGAAGGGUGGGGGCCGGAGAGUUAAGACCCUGAGCUUCUGGGGCGGGGGUGUCUGUGAAAGGGAUCUUCAUUCCAGGUGCGCUCCCCCCAUAGGCUGAAGACCUUUGUUACCCCUGAAUACGCAGGACAAUUUCACCUGGGCAGGGCAACCUAAUGGUUAUAAGCCACUCGAAAGGCUGGUUCCGGAGUCCUUGGAAAAGGGCAGGCCAGCUGAUGGAGUGCUAGCAGGAUGAUAGCGAGGCCCAGGGGAGUCCUGAGUUCAAAUCCAGAUCUCUUAGUGUGGCACUCUAAACAUUACGGCACAAUGCCUUCCCGUCAUGAUGGGGAAGCCGGACUGUGCCACACGGGGAUGC
RNAcentral lists this long non-coding RNA (1704 nucleotides) under Pogona vitticeps (central bearded dragon). Its description in RNAcentral is "lncRNA (ENSPVIG00000009336.1)". The record is from RNAcentral. Lineage: Eukaryota; Metazoa; Chordata; Lepidosauria; Squamata; Agamidae.